Pungitius pungitius (ninespine stickleback) is the source of this 307-nucleotide long non-coding RNA. RefSeq lists it as uncharacterized. The record is from RefSeq and is a predicted model, not a curated record. NCBI's taxonomy places the organism in Eukaryota, Metazoa, Chordata, Actinopteri, Perciformes, Gasterosteidae. The transcript is spliced from 3 exons.
GAGGCUGCACUUCAUUAUAAAUCAUGCUGCAGUUUCCAUGAGAUCAUCAGCUUGUAUUCAGGAGGAGCGACGUCCCACAGUGACGACCUUCUAUCAAAGUGAACUUUGACCCCCGAAGGAAGGAAGACGAUUCGGGGGCCGGACGGUCCCCUUGUGGGACGUGCGUCACAGCGCGUGGGAGCAGGUGGGCUGUGAGAACGCAGCAGGACCAGCCAAAAGAAAAAAAAGAAAAGAAAACCCGGAGUUUGACCACGACGACCUGGAGUCCAGACAGUCGACAUCGAUGGAGUAAAAGGCGGGAAACGUG